UAGAGUUUGAUCCUGGCUCAGGAUAAACGCUAGCGGCGCGCCUAAUGCAUGCAAGUCGAGCGAUGAGGUCCUUCGGGGCCAUCAGCGGCAAACGGGUGAGUAACACAUGGGUAACCUGCCUUCAAGCCGGGGAUAACGGAUGGAAACGUUCGCUAAUACCCGAUGCGUACGCUUAAGAGGAGACUGUGAGCGUAGAAAGUUACGGCGCUUGGAGAGGGGCCCGUGGCCCAUCAGUUAGUUGGUAGGGUAACGGCCUACCAAGGCGAAGACGGGUAGGGGGUGUGAGAGCACGGCCCCCCACAAUGGGACUGAGAGACGGCCCAUACUCUUACGGGAGGCAGCAGCAGGGAAUCUUGCGCAAUGGACGGGAGUCCGACGCAGCGACGCCGCGUGGGUGAAGACGGCCUUCGGGUUGUAAAGCCCUUUUCUGGGGGAAGAGAGAGGACGGUACUCCAGGAAUAAGUGUCGGCUAACUACGUGCCAGCAGCCGCGGUAAUACGUAGGACACGAGCGUUAUCCGGAUUUACUGGGCGUAAAGCGCCUGUAGGCGGUUCUUCAAGUCGUUUGUGAAAGCCCUGGGCUCAACCUGGGGAGGCCAAGCGAUACUGGAGGACUUGAGGGUGACAGAGGGGAGUGGAAUUUCCGGUGUAGCGGUAAAAUGCGCAGAUAUCGGGAGGAACACCAGUGGCGAAGGCGGCUCCCUGGGUCACCCCUGACGCUGAGAGGCGAAAGCUAGGGGAGCAAACAGGAUUAGAGACCCUGGUAGUCCUAGCCCUAAACGCUGGAUGCCAGGUGUGGGAUCGAGAGAUUCCGUGCCACAGCUAACGCGAUAAGCAUCCCGCCUGGGGACUACGGCCGCAAGGUUAAAACUCAAAGGAAUUGACGGGUCCCCGCACAAGCAGCGGAGCGUGUGGUUUAAUUCGUUGCUACACGAAGAACCUUACCUGGGUUUGACAUAGCAGUGGUAGGGAAGCGAAAGCAGACCGACCCUCCGGGGAGCUGUUACAGGUGUUGCAUGGCUGUCGUCAGCUCGUGUCGUGAGAUGUUCGGUUAAGUCCGCUAACGAGCGCAACCCUCGCUGUGUGUUACAAGUGUCACACGGUACUGCCGGUAUUAAGUCGGAGGAAGGUGGGGAUGACGUCAAGUCAGCAUGACCUUUAUAUCCAGGGCUACACACACGCUACAAUGGUCAGUACAAUAGGUUGCCAAGCCGCGAGGCGGAGCCAAUCCUAAAAAGCUGGCCUCAGUUCAGAUUGCAGUCUGCAACUCGACUGCAUGAAGUUGGAGUUGCUAGUAACCGCAGGUCAGCUAUACUGCGGUGAAUACGUUCCCGGGGAUUGCACACACCGCCCGUCA
This 1356-nucleotide ribosomal RNA is filed under the name uncultured bacterium. RNAcentral's name for it is "16S ribosomal RNA". It matches the Rfam family "Bacterial small subunit ribosomal RNA". The record is from RNAcentral.